AACAGUUGUUACGGAGAUUUAAGGCGAAAGCAGUUGCAUGCAAUUCACUAACAGCUGUGCCUGACUAAGUCCUCCGGGUUCUUGUCCUUCCUUUAUUUUUUGUUAGAUACAUUGGAAAUCUUCUAGAACUGCCGGCUUAUUUGCUUCACGGUGUCUAGUAUUUGAGAUUAAACGCCGUCAUACCCUGUUUUUUCAGGCCUCUGCAUUUGUUUGGUGACGCCUCACCGAAGCUUUUUCGGAAUACUAUUACUAGAAAGCUCUUGCAAAUUGCACUAUAUAAUCUUAUGGAAUCUUAUCGCUCUCGACCUUGUUUUCUCCAUCACUGAGUCCUCACAUAGCAGAAUCUUAAUGUCCCUGCUCUUACUGAUUUUGUGCCAGUUACUGUACACAAGGGAAUUUUUUUUUUUUUGAAGUUAAUUUUAUUCGUCAAAGGAAGGCUUUUCAUCUUUUUUCUGCAAAAGAUGGGCGCAAAGAGCUUGUUUAUGUCUUGUAGCCUCUUUUCUUCUAGACUGUAGUAAAGAUUCUAAAACCCAGAUGAUUUUUAAUUUCUUACCUUCUACUUCUGCGCUAAACUAUAGCAGGGCUUGGUGGCCUCUGGACGUGGGUUUUCUAUCUUUCCUGAUGAGUUCUAUUAUUUAUAUUAGAUGCCAGAGUACCUGUCUAAAUGGAAUUAUUGUUUUCCGGACAGCUUUAUAGCUCUGAUUGAAGGUUAUCAACUAAACGUCUCUUGCUCAUCGUGGUGGUUGGUAGAAGCGGCGGAAAACACUAUAUUCGUGGAAACUGGUUUGCGAAGUCUAAGUUUUACACGAUUACUGUAAAAUUUUUAGCGCGUAUUUCAACGUAUCAAUGGACUAGAAACCUUAUUGUCAUUUUGCUCCCUAACUCUUUCGGUGCACCGACUUUUACCCGCUCUACUUCGAUAGAGGAAC
Zophobas morio is the source of this 929-nucleotide long non-coding RNA. RefSeq lists it as uncharacterized. Lineage: Eukaryota; Metazoa; Arthropoda; Insecta; Coleoptera; Tenebrionidae. The record is from RefSeq and is a predicted model, not a curated record. The transcript is spliced from 4 exons.